AGUGUUCCUCGCGGGGGGUUAGGCAGCUCGCCUUCCCUGUGUCUUUCACAGAACGACGCUGCUCAUAACAAAGGCGGGACAAAAGUAGUGGGGUGAUGGGAGAGCAUUAACGAGCUUGACAGGGCAACACUCAUGAACUAAAGCGGAUUUUUUUUUACCCCAUUUUAAAACACAUUUUCCUUCGUCUAACACCAUUUUAUUUUUAUUUUCUUUUUCGUAAGUGGAAAGUAAAGCGGAACGUGAAUGAGCGCCGGAGCACAUCUUAUAAAAAAAUAGUCCGCACAACAGUGGAAACGAUGACAGAUUCACACUGACACAUCAGAGCUGUCCUCUGAUUAGCGGGGACUAAAUUAAGAAGUAUUUUUCAUAAACAGCCGUCAUGUCUGAUCAGGAACUUUCUGAGUCUCCUUCGCCCCUCAAGCGUGAGACCAAAUCCAAACCAGAGAUCCCACCAAAGCCUUCCUCCACGGCAGACAGCAACUCAAGUUUGGACAUUUCUGGAGGAAAGGUGAAGAAUAUUGUAAGCAAGCUGAGCAAGCAAGAGCUAAAUGGAUUGGUUAACGGAUCUGCGGACAUCACACCACCUAAAGAGGCUAAGAUGCCACCAAAAACAAUGCCCAAACCAGACCGGAAAAGCAUCCAGCUGCAGCCGAGCGCAGAGCAGACGCCGCCGCUGCCCCUGAAGAGGAGCGUGUUCGCCAGGAAGCAGAUGGAGAACGAGAGAGCAGAGGACGCCGAUGACACAGAUGGAGGUCGACCAGCGCCUGAAGGAAAGGAGGUGGAGGACCCGACUGGAGGAGAUGAAGUGGAGGCGGAGCAGGGUCAGCACGCCGCGCCCCGUACCCGCUGCGAGGCGGACUGCAGCUGCGUUUGCCACCUGCAGCGGCCCGGCAUGAGGCUGGUGUGGGUGCCGGUGGACGAGCAGGAAGAUGAAGGGGUGAAGGAGGAGCAGGCGGGUGGAGUCAGAGGAGAAAAGCAGACGGACGGCGAGGUGGAGAGCAGGACUUGUGGGGUCGACGGCGAUGUGAAACCGGAGAAAGCUAAAUUCCAACAGUCUUUAAACGCUUUACUCGCCGAGGCCCCCAGAAAGUUGUCAGACUCCGCCCCCCCCGCCGUUCAUCUGGAUCAUCCUCAGCCAGAACCCGCCGAGGAUGACGAGGACAAUAUUUAUGAGUCGACGCUCCCCGUGUUUAGCUCCGCCCUUAAAAAACCGGACAAACUCAGCGUCCCCGACAUCAAAGUACGCACGGCGGCUCGCCAGAACAAACUGCCCAACAGCUCCCUGUCGGACACACCCAACGGCGAGAACCCCGACAUUCCACCCGACAUCCCCCCCAGAGUUCCCAUCCCAUCAACGCCCAUCCCCGCCGUGGCAAUAGACAGAUGCACCCCCGUGCGCCCCUCCUCCCCCAGCCUCCCUGGCGCCAGGGGGCUGAGCCCGCAGCGAGGCGUCGCCCUGCCCUCAAGCAACACCCUGCAGCCCGUCAGAGUGGCCCCCCCACCGCCCAGGACAGACGACAGGCGGCACAGCUCCGCUUCAAUGCACUCCCCCUCACUGAACAAAGGUCAGUGCUUUUCAAAUCCACGAGUUCCGAUUAUUUUACGAGAAAAUCUGACGAUUCUUCGUUUUCAUCUACAGAAGAGGAGAGCAG
Molecule: long non-coding RNA, 1652 nt
Filed under: Oryzias javanicus (javanese ricefish)
Lineage: Eukaryota; Metazoa; Chordata; Actinopteri; Beloniformes; Adrianichthyidae
Description: lncRNA (ENSOJAG00000014295.1)
Source: RNAcentral